Molecule: long non-coding RNA, 1207 nt
Organism: Triplophysa rosa
Lineage: Eukaryota; Metazoa; Chordata; Actinopteri; Cypriniformes; Nemacheilidae
Exons: 6
Source: RefSeq, a predicted model, not a curated record
CUCUUCUUUCAAAUUCAAGCUCAGAAAGUUAAUGUAAAUGUCCCAGGCGUCACUCAAUGUUCAAAAAUGCAAUAUAAAAAUGUUGCAGGAUGGAAACAAGAUGGUGGUUGCCUUUACCGAAGAAAGUUCAGGCCGUACACUAAACCACAACUCCACAGCACGAGAGAAAUCAGUCCAAUAAAUCUAACAGCAGUUCCGUGCACAUGUCCCACGAAGCCAGAGGAACCACUGAGAAUUUCCGGAUUCUCAGGGCGCUAUCUGGAUACGUAUCUUUGAAAAACAUCUGGUAAGAGACCCAAUACACUCUUGUUUUUCACUGCAGCGAACUCGAAUGUCUCUCAUGGCCGUCUCAGCUCCGUUUCGUAAGAAGCAGAGGCAAUUACAUUUUCUGCACUCCUCUCUCUACAUUACCGCUUCUCUUUUUUCCAGCUCCCGAACAGUUUAACCAAUCCUGACCUUCAACAGCAGGCUUAUUCUCCAAUGCCUCCACAGUUGGAAACCUCAACCAGAUUCCCUAUUGGCAAGAGAUGAUCUCUAUGGAGCACUUUCACCCCGCCUUUCCCUGUUUCAGUUAGGACUUGGUAGACAGGCAGAUUUGGAAGCUUUCGUUUGACAAUGUAUGGGACAGGACUCCACUUUGGUUGCAGUUUAUGUUUUCCUUCGAUACCCAGGUUCUUGAUUAACACACGAUCUCCCGAGUCCAGAGAUUCGAAAACAACUCUUUUGUCAUAGGACCUUUUGUUACGCUGGUGAACUUUGUCAGCCUCUUCAGCAGCUAACCAGUUUCAAAAUCAGCUCUAAUGACUUCAGCUCUAACCUUGUUGGAUAAGCAUAAGCUUCAGGAAUAGAUUCAGUUGGGGCACCUAGCUGUUCUACACACCGCUGACUUGCCUCUGUGGACAGGCGAGGGCAAACUCUCUGACAUAUGGUUUUCACUCCAGGUGCAGGCCGGAAUUGAAUGCUGAUCUCAUACGUUGCCAAUGCUGCUAACCACCUGUGACCUGUGAUGUUCAAAUUAGCAGAAUUUAAGACAUAUGACAUGAUAGAGAAGUCUAAAGCAAGAGACAUCCGCAUAGUCACUGAUGUAGUAAAUCUCAGAACCGUGGACUUACAUUCCAAACAGGAGCCAAUGGUUAGCUGCUUUCCACUGUCAAUCACCAGCAUCUGACUGACCCUCGGAGCAUAUAGGAAAACAGGUAGGCGAGCU